UUUCUAUUUCCCUCGUUCUCUCUUUUUCUUCUUCUUUUUUUCCCCUCGUUCUCUUUACACCUCUUGUGUGUUGUUUUUAUUUGCUUCACUUCUUAUAACAACAGGCAGAAGCUGAUAAGAUUGUGUCCAUCGCCGACGCUGUCGCAUUUAUCUCCUCCCACCCCCAGGCAAAGUAAAGAGAAGAAAACGAGCUAAAAAA
This 199-nucleotide non-coding RNA is filed under the name uncultured eukaryote. The record is from RNAcentral.